CCAAGGGGGGGAGGCUUACACAUGCAAGUCGAGCGCCCCGCAAGGGGAGCGGCAGACGGGUGAGUAACGCGUGGGAACGUACCUUUUGCUACGGAAUAACUCAGGGAAACUUGUGCUAAUACCGUAUGUGCCCUUCGGGGGAAAGAUUUAUCGGCAAAGGAUCGGCCCGCGUUGGAUUAGCUAGUUGGUGAGGUAAAGGCUCACCAAGGCGACGAUCCAUAGCUGGUCUGAGAGGAUGAUCAGCCACACUGGGACUGAGACACGGCCCAGACUCCUACGGGAGGCAGCAGUGGGGAAUAUUGGACAAUGGGCGCAAGCCUGAUCCAGCCAUGCCGCGUGAGUGAUGAAGGCCCUAGGGUUGUAAAGCUCUUUCACCGGUGAAGAUAAUGACGGUAACCGGAGAAGAAGCCCCGGCUAACUUCGUGCCAGCAGCCGCGGUAAU
RNAcentral lists this ribosomal RNA (442 nucleotides) under Brucella anthropi. RNAcentral describes it as "bacterial SSU rRNA". It matches the Rfam family "Bacterial small subunit ribosomal RNA", at positions 38 to 524 of the family's 1533-position model. Lineage: Bacteria; Pseudomonadati; Pseudomonadota; Alphaproteobacteria; Hyphomicrobiales; Brucellaceae. The record is from RNAcentral.